Molecule: ribosomal RNA, 589 nt
Filed under: uncultured bacterium
Lineage: Bacteria
Description: bacterial SSU rRNA
Rfam family: Bacterial small subunit ribosomal RNA
Source: RNAcentral
CCUACGGGAGGCAGCAGUGGGGAAUCUUGCGCAAUGGGGGAAACCCUGACGCAGCAACGCCGCGUGGGUGAUGAAGGCCUUCGGGUCGUAAAGCCCUGUCAGGUGGGAAGAAACUUGUGGAUGUUAAUACCAUCCAUGCUUGACGGUACCGCCGGAGGAAGCACCGGCUAACUCCGUGCCAGCAGCCGCGGUAAUACGGAGGGUGCAAGCGUUGUUCGGAAUUACUGGGCGUAAAGCGCGUGUAGGCGGCCUUGCAAGCCAGACGUGAAAGCCCUCGGCUUAACCGGGGAAGUGCGUCUGGAACUGCUUGGCUUGAGUACGGGAGAGGGAGGCGGAAUUCCCAGUGUAGAGGUGAAAUUCGUAGAUAUUGGGAGGAACACCGGUGGCGAAAGCGGCCUCCUGGACCGAUACUGACGCUGAGACGCGAAAGCGUGGGGAGCAAACAGGAUUAGAUACCCUGGUAGUCCACGCGGUAAACGAUGGGCACUAGGUGUGGGGGGUAUCCACUCCUCCCGUGCCGAAGCUAACGCAUUAAGUGCCCCGCCUGGGGGAGUACGGCCGCAAGGUUAAAACUCAAAGGAAUUGACGG